This 77-nucleotide transfer RNA is filed under the name Pseudomonas aeruginosa. RNAcentral's name for it is "tRNA-Asp". The record is from RNAcentral. Lineage: Bacteria; Pseudomonadati; Pseudomonadota; Gammaproteobacteria; Pseudomonadales; Pseudomonadaceae.
GGGACUCGAACCCGCGACCCCCGGCGUGACAGGCCGGUAUUCUAACCGACUGAACUACCGCUGCGCGUAACUUGCGA